This is a non-coding RNA of Schistosoma mansoni, 45 nucleotides long. NCBI's taxonomy places the organism in Eukaryota, Metazoa, Platyhelminthes, Trematoda, Strigeidida, Schistosomatidae. The record is from Rfam.
AUUCAGCUGACAAGUUUCAACUAGGACGAAACGUGCGUCCUGAAU